AGAGAGGUGGCCGAGUGGUCGAAGGCGCACGCCUGGAAAGUGUGUAUACGCCAAAAGCGUAUCGAGGGUUCGAAUCCCUUCCUCUCUGCCA
This 91-nucleotide transfer RNA is filed under the name Gilvibacter sp. SZ-19. Its description in RNAcentral is "tRNA-Ser". It matches the Rfam family "tRNA". From Rfam's summary of the family: Transfer RNA (tRNA) molecules are approximately 80 nucleotides in length. Their secondary structure includes four short double-helical elements and three loops (D, anti-codon, and T loops). Lineage: Bacteria; Pseudomonadati; Bacteroidota; Flavobacteriia; Flavobacteriales; Flavobacteriaceae. The record is from RNAcentral. RNAcentral also lists the same sequence under 3 other names.